This 800-nucleotide ribosomal RNA is filed under the name Erysiphe epigena. RNAcentral's name for it is "eukaryotic LSU rRNA". It matches the Rfam family "Eukaryotic large subunit ribosomal RNA", at positions 1 to 814 of the family's 3401-position model. The record is from RNAcentral. Lineage: Eukaryota; Fungi; Ascomycota; Leotiomycetes; Helotiales; Erysiphaceae.
UUGACCUCGAAUCAGGUAGGAAUACCCGCUGAACUUAAGCAUAUCAAUAAGCGGAGGAAAAGAAACCAACCGGGAUUACCUCAGUAACGGCGAGUGAAGCGGUAACAGCUCAAAUUUGAAAUCUGGCUCCUGCGGAGUCCGAGUUGUAAUUUGUAGAAGAUGCUUUGGGUUGUGGGUUCGGCCUAAGUUCCUUGGAACAGGACGUCAUAGAGGGUGAGAAUCCCGUAUGUGGCCGAGGCCCGCGCCUAUGUAAAGCUCUUUCAACGAGUCGAGUUGUUUGGGAAUGCAGCUCAAAAUGGGUGGUAAAUUUCAUCUAAAGCUAAAUAUGGGCCAGAGACCGAUAGCGCACAAGUAGAGUGAUCGAAAGAUGAAAAGCACUUUGGAAAGAGAGUUAAACAGUACGUGAAAUUGUUGAAAGGGAAGCGCUUGCAACCAGACUUGGGCGCUGCCGAUCACCCCGAGUUCUCUCUGGUGCACUCGACAGCGUACAGGCCAGCAUCGGUUCGGGUGGCUGGAUAAAGGCCGUAGGAACGUAGCUCCCUCCGGGGAGUGUUAUAGCCUACGGUGCCAUGCAGCCCAGCCGGACCGAGGACCGCGCCUUCGGGCUAGGAUGCUGGCGUAAUGGUUGUAAGCGACCCGUCUUGAAACACGGACCAAGGAGUCUAACAUCUAUGCGAGUGUUUGGGUGGCAAACCCAUACGCGGAAUGAAAGUGAACGUAGGUGAGAACCCCUUUGGGGCGCAUCAUCGACCGAUCCUGAUGUCUUCGGAUGGAUUUGAGUAAGAGCAUAGCUGUUGGGA